This 172-nucleotide small RNA is filed under the name Arabidopsis thaliana (thale cress). Its description in RNAcentral is "ATSL042480". The record is from RNAcentral. Lineage: Eukaryota; Viridiplantae; Streptophyta; Magnoliopsida; Brassicales; Brassicaceae.
GUUGUUCAUGCGUAUUGUUGAGAGAUUCUCCAAUGAAGUCCCAUACUUUAAACAAAGAAGAGAUGCCACCAGAAGACUCGGUUUCUCGGCACUACAGAAGUCUACAGCAGCAAUUCGUAUGCUCGCAUAUGGUAUUGCGGCUGAUGCGGUUGAUGAAUACCUCUGAAUUGGU